This 474-nucleotide unclassified non-coding RNA is filed under the name Ophiocordyceps sp. 14TymH17. RNAcentral's name for it is "partial contains ITS1, 5.8S rRNA and ITS2". The stretch from base 149 to 302 matches the Rfam family "5.8S ribosomal RNA". Lineage: Eukaryota; Fungi; Ascomycota; Sordariomycetes; Hypocreales; Ophiocordycipitaceae. The record is from RNAcentral.
CCGAGUUGCCCAACUCCCACAACCCCACGCGAACGUUACCCCACGUUGCCUCGGCGGGCCCGCACCGGGAUCUCCGGUGCGCCCGCCGGAGGAUCAUCAAACUCGCCUCUCUAGAGUCAUUGUCGGGGUCAGCAGUUUAAUGAAUCAAAACUUUCAACAACGGAUCUCUUGGUUCUGGCAUCGAUGAAGAACGCAGCGAAAUGCGAUAAGUAAUGUGAAUUGCAGAAUUCAGUGAACCAUCGAAUCUUUGAACGCACAUUGCGCCCGCCAGCACUCUGGCGGGCAUGCCUGUUCGAGCGUCAUUUGAAACCCUCAAGCCCCUCCGGCUUGGCGUUGGGGGACGGCCCGCCGCGGCCGCCCCCGGAAUCCAGCGGCGACCCCGCCGCGGUCUCCCCUGCGCAGUAAGCACGCUCGCACGGGAUGGCGCGGGCGGAGGGCCGGCGCCGCAAGGCGCAGCCACACCACACCAGAGUU